RNAcentral lists this ribosomal RNA (254 nucleotides) under uncultured bacterium. RNAcentral's name for it is "partial 16S ribosomal RNA". It matches the Rfam family "Bacterial small subunit ribosomal RNA", at positions 524 to 776 of the family's 1533-position model. The record is from RNAcentral.
UACGGAGGGUGCGAGCGUUAUCCGGAUUCACUGGGUUUAAAGGGUGCGUAGGUGGGCUUGUAAGUCAGUGGUGAAAUCUCCGUGCUUAACAUGGAAACUGCCAUUGAUACUAUAGGUCUUGAAUUUUCCGGAGGUCAGCGGAAUAUGUCAUGUAGCGGUGAAAUGCUUAGAUAUGACAUAGAACACCAAUUGCGAAGGCAGCUGACUACAGGGAUAUUGACACUGAGGGCACGAAAGCGUGGGGAUCAAACAGG